UAAAUAUGUGCGAUGGAAAAGCCCAUCUUACUCUACUACAAACAAGGCCAACACUAUACUUACAAAUCAAUAUAUAGAUAUGGAGAAAGCUUCAACUAAGUUUGUUUUCUUGGUUGCUCUCUUAAUCAUUGCUUCAUGUUUUCCAAUGGGAGGUGAAGCAAGAAGAGUAGUCUCAUGGCGUUGUAGUGUUCCAGACGACUGCAAAUUUCUUUGUCCAACUUGUCCUCCCUGUAAAUGCAUCAAUCAUGUGUGUGACUGUGAUAUUAAGAAGCUCACACUCGAAACCAUCAUUGGACAGCAAGGAAACUAACUCAAGUGUUUCUUUGCAUUAUAUAUCACAUUGAUGAGCAUAUGAGAUGUGCAAUCAAUAAUAAAAAUAAAUAAAAGAUGAUGGCUACUGUUUCAA
Long non-coding RNA from Vitis vinifera (wine grape), 406 nucleotides. RefSeq lists it as uncharacterized. The record is from RefSeq and is a predicted model, not a curated record. The transcript is spliced from 2 exons. NCBI's taxonomy places the organism in Eukaryota, Viridiplantae, Streptophyta, Magnoliopsida, Vitales, Vitaceae.